Neofelis nebulosa (Clouded leopard) is the source of this 1282-nucleotide long non-coding RNA. RefSeq lists it as uncharacterized. The transcript is spliced from 2 exons. Lineage: Eukaryota; Metazoa; Chordata; Mammalia; Carnivora; Felidae. The record is from RefSeq and is a predicted model, not a curated record.
GUCUGCGGCGGAUGCUAGCUGGCUUCAGUGUCAAACCGCGGUCAUGAGCGUGGCUGGCUGUGGGCAGCUGGUGGAGAACCAGGCCCCAGGGGAGUACUUUGGAUUUGACCUGAGAGGUGAUGAGAAAUCACUCUCUCCAGCCUUCAGUACUGUGGAAGUCAUGGCAUCCGCUCUGGAGACCACGGUCGAAUCUUCGUUUGUUGGGGGCUUCACGUGGCCUGCCUGGGGGAGGGGGUCAACGACAGAAGUGUGUACAUUCACCCCACACACCACCUGGAGACUCAGGUAGGCAGCAGCAUGGAGCUCUCUGUGCUUUGCUUUGUUCCCGACCCUCGUGCAAGAAGCGAAAGAGGCUUCGGCACAAACCGAUCACCACAGUGGGAAAGAUGUAGAUGAAACUCAUAAAGGAGAAGUCACAGUAUAUCCACUGGAGAAAGAGACCAAGAAGGAAAGGAUUUAUCCCCAAACCUGGAGCUCCCUGGGUGACAAGGGUCCUGUUUGCAUUCAGGCUGCUACAACAAAGUACCAUCGACUGGGUGGCUUACAAACAGCAGAAAUCUAUUUCUCACCAUUUUGGAGGCUGGUGGCAAACUUGGGGACUGGUGACGAACCUCUUCCUGGUUUAGGACUCACGUGUUUUUGCGACAGCCUUGCAUGGUGGAAGCAACAAGGGAGUUCUCUGCCCUCCUGCCCUAAUCACCUCCUAAAAGCCCCGCCUCCAGAGAUCAUCACACAGGGGAGUGGGUUUCAAUGUAUGAAUUUGAGGGGGACACAAACAUUCAGCCUAUAGCAGGUCCCGACCUCCCACCCCCAGCCCUCAUCAAUGAACGGCACCACCAUCGGCCUAACUGUGCCGGCCAAAAACCCAUCCUUGACUUCUUUCUCCCUUCCUUUUACCCUCCACAUUCAAGUCCACCAGCAAGUUCACCAGUAGCUGUGCAAUAGAUCUCACGUAUCCGUGUCUCAUCCUCGUCCCUGCUACCACCCUAAAACAGAAGGUCAUCUCUCACCCAGAUUAUUCAAGGGGCCUCCUAACAGUCUCUCUGCUUUGGAUCGUGCAUGUGGCCAGUCUAUUCUCCACGAGCAGCCAGAGUGAUCUUGUUAAGUUGGCUCAAGAGGGACAAACCAUGUGCAUGACCCUAAACUGACGAUCGCCUGCUGCUGUUUGCCAGCUGUCUGGAGGGUUUUUAAAAAUUCAUGUUUUAAAAUGUCUCAUGCCUAAUUAAUAAAUGAAUAUGAAAGAUAAAAAUAAAAUUUGUCAAUAAACCUGAAUAAAAUAAAA